UGAAAUGGGUGCAUAAGAAUGUUG
This 24-nucleotide small nuclear RNA is filed under the name Arabidopsis thaliana (thale cress). RNAcentral describes it as "snRNA_14518". Lineage: Eukaryota; Viridiplantae; Streptophyta; Magnoliopsida; Brassicales; Brassicaceae. The record is from RNAcentral.